This is a long non-coding RNA of Ctenopharyngodon idella (grass carp), 913 nucleotides long. RefSeq lists it as uncharacterized. The transcript is spliced from 2 exons. Lineage: Eukaryota; Metazoa; Chordata; Actinopteri; Cypriniformes; Xenocyprididae. The record is from RefSeq and is a predicted model, not a curated record.
CCAAAGCAUAUUUCAUACUGCUACCAAACAUUUUUAACAGCUACAAAGGAUAUUGAGUCAAGGUAUAAAACUGUUUAAAUGUAUGACCCUGUAAUCAUGUUGCAGGUAAGAGUCGUCAGUGUCCUGAUGGAAUAAGACACAAAUCCAAGUGUGAGGUACAGAAAAGACUCCCAAGUCUGCAUAUGAGGACAUGGUUUAUUUUAUUAAAGGCAUAGCUGAUUCCAGCGUUUACAACUGUCCACAAAGAGACAAGAACACAAUAAAUCAAGCCCAUUAUAGAAGGAGAUAUCCUCAAACCCAACUAUUCCCUGACAAAAUCCUCUUUAAAAAAAAAAAAGAAAAAAAAAAAAAUCUCAACUGGAUAUCUCCCUCAUCCAAAAUACAAGGCAUUCUGAAAGAUGGAUUUCAUGCAGAAUUUCAAGAGUGGCAGACUCAAUUUAGGGUUGGGACAAACCUUCAUAGUGGUAAAUUUAAUGUAAAAAGCUGGCUGUUAUUUUUUUAUUUAUUUUUUUUUUUUGUGUUUUUAGCUUUAGUAUUGGAAUGUUAUAUUAUGGCCCAAAGGCGCAAGGCUGUUGUCCUGUGAUCAGCAUUGUAAUGUACAUCACUACAGAAGCCACAGUUAAAAGAUGGAUACUGGACAACAGGGGAAAAAAAUCCACAUUUACAAUGCAGUGAGAUACAGGGUAUCAAAAAAAAAAAAAGCACAUUCACACAAGACUGUGCACUACAAGUCCAUCCAAAAUAAAAGAAUGUUAGGCGUCCACAGCAACCAAUCAGAGCACAGGCUUCUGAAACUCCUUGCUGAACGAUUCUAAAAGGAAAACAAAAUGGGGCGCUCGGCUCCCGCUGAAAAUUUGCUUUGCUUAUAGUUUUUUUUUUAUUUUUUUUUUUUGCAAAUUAUACUUUGACCUAA